This 2917-nucleotide ribosomal RNA is filed under the name Bacillus cereus ATCC 4342. RNAcentral describes it as "bacterial LSU rRNA". It matches the Rfam family "Bacterial large subunit ribosomal RNA". Lineage: Bacteria; Bacillati; Bacillota; Bacilli; Caryophanales; Bacillaceae. The record is from RNAcentral.
UAAGUUAGAAAGGGCGCACGGUGGAUGCCUUGACACUAGGAGUCGAUGAAGGACGGGACUAACGCCGAUAUGCUUCGGGGAGCUGUAAGUAAGCUUUGAUCCGAAGAUUUCCGAAUGGGGAAACCCACCAUACGUAAUGGUAUGGUAUCCUUAUCUGAAUACAUAGGGUAAGGAAGACAGACCCAGGGAACUGAAACAUCUAAGUACCUGGAGGAAGAGAAAGCAAAUGCGAUUUCCUGAGUAGCGGCGAGCGAAACGGAACAUAGCCCAAACCAAGAGGCUUGCCUCUUGGGGUUGUAGGACAUUCUAUACGGAGUUACAAAGGAACGAGGUAGACGAAGCGACCUGGAAAGGUCCGUCGUAGAGGGUAACAACCCCGUAGUCGAAACUUCGUUCUCUCUUGAAUGUAUCCUGAGUACGGCGGAACACGUGAAAUUCCGUCGGAAUCUGGGAGGACCAUCUCCCAAGGCUAAAUACUACCUAGUGAUCGAUAGUGAACCAGUACCGUGAGGGAAAGGUGAAAAGCACCCCGGAAGGGGAGUGAAAGAGAUCCUGAAACCGUGUGCCUACAAAUAGUCAGAGCCCGUUAACGGGUGAUGGCGUGCCUUUUGUAGAAUGAACCGGCGAGUUACGAUCCCGUGCGAGGUUAAGCUGAAGAGGCGGAGCCGCAGCGAAAGCGAGUCUGAAUAGGGCGUUUAGUACGUGGUCGUAGACCCGAAACCAGGUGAUCUACCCAUGUCCAGGGUGAAGUUCAGGUAACACUGAAUGGAGGCCCGAACCCACGCACGUUGAAAAGUGCGGGGAUGAGGUGUGGGUAGCGGAGAAAUUCCAAUCGAACCUGGAGAUAGCUGGUUCUCCCCGAAAUAGCUUUAGGGCUAGCCUUAAGUGUAAGAGUCUUGGAGGUAGAGCACUGAUUGGACUAGGGGUCCUCAUCGGAUUACCGAAUUCAGUCAAACUCCGAAUGCCAAUGACUUAUCCUUAGGAGUCAGACUGCGAGUGAUAAGAUCCGUAGUCAAAAGGGAAACAGCCCAGACCGCCAGCUAAGGUCCCAAAGUGUGUAUUAAGUGGAAAAGGAUGUGGAGUUGCUUAGACAACUAGGAUGUUGGCUUAGAAGCAGCCACCAUUUAAAGAGUGCGUAAUAGCUCACUAGUCGAGUGACUCUGCGCCGAAAAUGUACCGGGGCUAAAUACACCACCGAAGCUGCGGAUUGAUACCAAUGGUAUCAGUGGUAGGGGAGCGUUCUAAGGACAGUGAAGUCAGACCGGAAGGACUGGUGGAGUGCUUAGAAGUGAGAAUGCCGGUAUGAGUAGCGAAAGACGGGUGAGAAUCCCGUCCACCGAAUGCCUAAGGUUUCCUGAGGAAGGCUCGUCCGCUCAGGGUUAGUCAGGACCUAAGCCGAGGCCGACAGGCGUAGGCGAUGGACAACAGGUUGAUAUUCCUGUACCACCUCUUCAUCGUUUGAGCAAUGGAGGGACGCAGAAGGAUAGAAGAAGCGUGCGAUUGGUUGUGCACGUCCAAGCAGUUAGGCUGAUAAGUAGGCAAAUCCGCUUAUCGUGAAGGCUGAGCUGUGAUGGGGAAGCUCCUUAUGGAGCGAAGUCUUUGAUUCCCCGCUGCCAAGAAAGCUUCUAGCGAGAUAAAAGGUGCCUGUACCGCAAACCGACACAGGUAGGCGAGGAGAGAAUCCUAAGGUGUGCGAGAGAACUCUGGUUAAGGAACUCGGCAAAAUGACCCCGUAACUUCGGGAGAAGGGGUGCUUUCUUAACGGAAAGCCGCAGUGAAUAGGCCCAAGCGACUGUUUAGCAAAAACACAGCUCUCUGCGAAGCCGUAAGGCGAAGUAUAGGGGGUGACACCUGCCCGGUGCUGGAAGGUUAAGGAGAGGGGUUAGCGUAAGCGAAGCUCUGAACUGAAGCCCCAGUAAACGGCGGCCGUAACUAUAACGGUCCUAAGGUAGCGAAAUUCCUUGUCGGGUAAGUUCCGACCCGCACGAAAGGUGUAACGAUUUGGGCACUGUCUCAACCAGAGACUCGGUGAAAUUAUAGUACCUGUGAAGAUGCAGGUUACCCGCGACAGGACGGAAAGACCCCGUGGAGCUUUACUGUAGCCUGAUAUUGAAUUUUGGUACAGUUUGUACAGGAUAGGCGGGAGCCUUUGAAACCGGAGCGCUAGCUUCGGUGGAGGCGCUGGUGGGAUACCGCCCUGACUGUAUUGAAAUUCUAACCUACGGGUCUUAUCGACCCGGGAGACAGUGUCAGGUGGGCAGUUUGACUGGGGCGGUCGCCUCCUAAAGUGUAACGGAGGCGCCCAAAGGUUCCCUCAGAAUGGUUGGAAAUCAUUCGUAGAGUGCAAAGGCAUAAGGGAGCUUGACUGCGAGACCUACAAGUCGAGCAGGGACGAAAGUCGGGCUUAGUGAUCCGGUGGUUCCGCAUGGAAGGGCCAUCGCUCAACGGAUAAAAGCUACCCCGGGGAUAACAGGCUUAUCUCCCCCAAGAGUCCACAUCGACGGGGAGGUUUGGCACCUCGAUGUCGGCUCAUCGCAUCCUGGGGCUGUAGUCGGUCCCAAGGGUUGGGCUGUUCGCCCAUUAAAGCGGUACGCGAGCUGGGUUCAGAACGUCGUGAGACAGUUCGGUCCCUAUCCGUCGUGGGCGUAGGAAAUUUGAGAGGAGCUGUCCUUAGUACGAGAGGACCGGGAUGGACGCACCGCUGGUGUACCAGUUGUUCUGCCAAGGGCAUAGCUGGGUAGCUAUGUGUGGAAGGGAUAAGUGCUGAAAGCAUCUAAGCAUGAAGCCCCCCUCAAGAUGAGAUUUCCCAUAGCGUAAGCUAGUAAGAUCCCUGAAAGAUGAUCAGGUUGAUAGGUUCGAGGUGGAAGCAUGGUGACAUGUGGAGCUGACGAAUACUAAUAGAUCGAGGACUUAACCA